Molecule: long non-coding RNA, 3348 nt
Organism: Marmota monax (woodchuck)
Lineage: Eukaryota; Metazoa; Chordata; Mammalia; Rodentia; Sciuridae
Exons: 3
Source: RefSeq, a predicted model, not a curated record
UAUUCCUGCACUAAUCGAAGAGAAAAGAUUGAUUCGGCAAGUGGGUGAAGUAAACAAGAUUAAAGCCUGGGGGAAUAUUUGACGAAGUCAAGGACAAGCUGUUUUCCAGGGCAGGCUCACUGACCCCAGCUGGGGAAAUCUUGGCCAUCUCUGGAUCCUGUUUCUUCGCCCUAAGGGAUCUUUCCUCUGAUUCUUUCUUGUUUUCCAACCAAAUGAGGCAUGCUAGGGCCAUUUGCUGACCCUAUGUCUCUCUGUCUCUAUCUCUUUGUCUGUCUGUCUCUGUGGGUGUCUCUGGCUCCCCCAGCCCCAGCUCCACCGCCCAUGAACUGGAACGGAGUACACCCAAGGACACGCAUCUGUGACCCUGUUUCAUUCCUACGUUCUUGAUAAUUUAUUAGCUGGUAAACUUCAGCCAGAAAACCAACUCAGAAGUUCUGGCUUCCCUCUGCAUGGAUCUGAGCCCUUCCUGAGAGGGAGCCCUGGCCAAGGAGAUGAUCCAACUCCUGGUACAAGCGUCUGGGAAGAAGAAAGUGGGCAGCCCUGGCUGAAGGAGCAGGCAGAGCAGCAGGACUCCAGAGAGCCUGGAAGGCAGGCUGUGUGGGGGAGGAGACUACCUGGCCACCGACUCUGCCUUCCACUCAGACACCUGAAAUUUAACCUUGGAGAACCUCUUCCAAGCCUCCUCUGCAGCCUGUGAGGCCUUUCAGGAUCAUCACCACGGAAAACCCGGAGCAGAACCAGUGGGAGCUGGAGAAAUGGCUGAAGAAGAGCCAGGGGCCUGUGGCUGGUUCCCAGCUGUGCAAUAUGAGUGAGACCUGGCAGGAGACAGGUACCUGCAAGCUGUCCCUGCUCCACCAGAGCCCCCAGCCCGCCUCACCCUCCGUCUCCCUUCCCCCCUGAUCUGCUUGCCUCUCAUCAGCCAGGGCCCCUCCCUCCAGGGCCGACUCACCUAGAGCUGCCUGGGGUUGCCCUGCCUGCUCCCCACUUCUUUCUUCCCAUCCAGACUAUAGCACCAGUUUUGGUCUCAUCUCCUCCUGGAAGCCUCCCCACCCACAAUGAGCUCAUAGUUCAGCUUCUACUGGAAUCUACUGUUGGGAUGUGCGAGAGACGUCAUGGAAAGACACGGGCUGCUCAGAGUCCCCCCACGCUAUCCCCUCAGCACUGUUGCCCAGCUCCACAGAGAAAUAGCAUUGACCCCCCACAGGCAUGGUCCCCAUCUGGGUCCAUAGAGAGUAAAUGCAUCCACUGGAGCCCUGAGGGGAGAGCAAUUCCCAUCCAAUUGCACAGCUGGAGAAAUCAAGGCCCUGGCCCUGAGAGUGGCCUCUAGCCCACCUCAGAGGAGCACAGAGGCAGGAGUCCCCACCUGGCUGAAGCCAUCAAAGAUGAGAGCAGCGCAAGAGUCCUGCCCUGGCCUCGGGCAUGGGUGCAGGAGCAGGUGGCAAGAGGAGGCCUGGCCCAGAAGGAUGGUCACACAGUUGCUGAAGUAUGACAUGAUCAGUCGCACCCACUCAGGUCAGCCUAGGUAUCUCCACCUGGCUGCAAGUGACACUGUUUGGCCUGGGAGCACCUGUCCUGACAUAGACAUAACAUGUACCAGCAGAGCCUUCAGCCUGCUGAAGCCGGGUGGGCACCUGGUCACCAUGGCCACACUGCAUUCGCAGCACUAUAUGGGCUCCAGAAAGUUCUUUGAGAGGGAGACAGUGAGAAGGCCAGGCAGGAGGCCAACCACCAGGCGCUGAGGUUCAACCACCAGCCGCUCCGCUACUCUGAGGCCUGCUCCAUUAACGAGGACAUCUUCUUUGCUGUCACCUUGCAAAGUCCCCAGGGUCUGAGGCCAGCCUGGCAGAGCUGCCCCCUAGUGGUCACAGCCAGCAUUUCUGGAUCUUGCUCACAGCCCCCUAAAGCAGCUGGAGCUGCUCUACCCCUUUAUUCCUGCUACCUGGUCCCAAGGCCACAAGGGAAAAGCAGGGCCCUUCUGACACUCUUCUCAGGGACUGUCACCCACACUCCUUCCUUGUUAUCCUGUAGCAAAGAUGACGGAACUAAAGUGCUCUUGCUGAACACUGUCUUGGUCUGACUUCUCCCAGAAACAGACCUGAAACAGGAUUUGAGAGCAAAUCCAUUAGUUGAGAAGGGACCUGUGAACAUCUAGAGGGGAAUGGGAAGGAAAGCAGAGAAGGAGGGCAGCUGAGAAAGAGGGCAUCACCCAGCCCUUCCCACCGUAGGCGCCUGGAGCUUAGUCAUGCCAGGGCCUCUGGGGAUGGUGCAGAGCACAGUCUGUGGUUUCCCCACCCAGGGAGCCAGGUCGUGGGUCUACACCAACUCCUGUUGCCACGGCUGAGGGCUGCUGAUUGGGGUGUUAAUUCCCCAGCCUCUUCGGUCUGCCUGCAUUGGGCAGUGCCACCCCAGAGAGAACUAAAAGACUUGCAGAUGCUGGCCAUGGGCAAUUGAGCCAGUAUGCACAGGGCACAGGGAAGAGGCACUAAAAGUGUCUGCAACUGGCGUGAAAUGGGCCACUGGCUGGAGUUCCAGGUAGGUUGAUCCCCUGGAAAAAGGACAUGGACUUAGAUUCUCAAAGCCAAAGGCACCUGCCAGAGUAAUAUGACUUCUAGACCAAGUUCCUGCUCCCCCGGUGUGAGGAGGGGACUGGCUCCAUCAGAUGGUUCUGUGAGUCACAAAAGAGCCAGCACUGAGGCCUGGACUCCUGUCCAGGUAAUGAUGAGCUGGUGGCAAUGCAGCUUCAGGGAGUGGUCAGCUGAGGCCAGCUAUGGGGCAGGGCAGGAGUCAGGCUGCUUCAUGGAUGUGGCCAAGAACAUAGCCUCUGACCUCUGGGAGGGCCUAGGGUCACAUCUCUAGGACCAUCACAAGGUCGUUAAGUCUCUGCACAACAUUCUUACUCAAACAGCCAAAUCUGCUCCAGACAGCUCUCGGCAUGGGCUCACCUCUUCUCUCUGAGAUGUGGGCAGUGUGUCUGCAUUUCUCCACCUGUUAUGGUUGAGACGUGGUGUCUCCCAAAAGCUCACGUGUGAGAUAAGGCAAGAAGGUUUGAGGAGAAAUGAUUGGGUUAUAGCCUUAACCUAAUCAGGAACUGAUCCCCUGACAGGGAUUAACUGAGUGGUGCCUGAAGUGCUAGGGUGUGGCUGGAGGGGGCGUGGCUUUGGGUAUAUAUUUCUAUCUGACAAGUGGAGUCUCUCUGCUUUCUGAUCACCAUGUGAGCUGCUUCCCUCCGCCACAGUCUUCUGCCAUGAUGUUCUGCCUCACCUUGAGCCCCAAGAAACAGAGCCGACCUUCUAUGGACUAAGACCUCCGAAAUCAUGAGCCCUCAAAUAAACUUUUCCUCCCUUACAA